CUGGGGCCAUGUGCCUGGAGGAAGCAGUCACAGAGGUGGUGAGCUGCUCUGUCAUCUCAGGCCCUCAAGAUGAUAUGGUAGCACCUUUCAGGUUUUCUUUUUGUUAUCCUGGGGCUGUGGGUCUGGGAGGUAGAGGGCUCCUCUGUCAUCUCAAGCCCUCAAGAUGAAUUAUCAUGUUAGUAUUGACUGUGGUCACCUCGUUUCUCACUGUGAAGUUACUGUUCUCUGCAUGUCCACAUUGCUUGUGUUUUUUGGAGGAAGUCACUUUAAGGAGCAGGGAGUUAACUCCAACUCCUCAAUGGCCAUGACUGCCUUAGUUAUCUGGAAUUCUUCUGCAUAAGAGGUUUCUAGCCAACCCCAUUUUUUUGUCCCAUCAGUCAUUUAUUUGCACCAGUGUGUCAUAUGCAUAGUUACCUUGAACUGUUUUUUGUUAUCCUUUUUUAUAGUCAUAUGUUGCUCAAUUCAUUCCUGCUUUAACAAUUGGGAGUUCUUUCCUUUGGAGGAUGGUCAUGAGAAAGAUCAAGCAGUGACUAAAAGCUUGGAACUUUCAGUCCCUCACCCCAUUCUGUGGUGAAAGAAGCUGGAGAUUGAGUUAAUAAUCCAUCAUGACUACAUGAUUAAGUCUCCACAGAAGUCUCUAAAAUAAGUAGUUCAGGGGGUUUCUGAAUUGCUGAAAAAAUCCAUGUGUAGGGAAGGUGGUGCUUCCUACCUCCAUGUGGACAGAGGUUCCUGUAUGGGGCACAUCCUGCACAUCUCAUCUGACUGUAAUUUUGUCUUUCUUAGAAUGUCAUAAAAGGUGGGCUAUUCAGUAUGUUGCCUCUUCAGCCUCAUUUAUUUUACUUAGCAGCAUUACCAGGUAGGAUAAAUUUGUGUUUCUGUGUAGGUUGGUAGUUCAUUUCUUUCUGUUCUGUGUUGAUUGUGCAUUCAGCUAUGUAAGGACAUUCUGACUUAUGAUUUGAUCAGCAUCAUUAAAGUUUCUGUGUAUAAUUACAUUCUGGUUUUCUUUGGACAUCUUUUUCAUGCACUUGUCGAAAUGCAAAUAAUUUAUAGGUACAAUGUUUGGUCAUAGAUUAGACUUAUUUCACUUUAGAAAGAAUUGGCACACUGUCUUCCUACAGUGGUUGUGCCUUAUGUUCUCCCAGCAAUGCAUGAGGGUGUGGGGGUCUAGGCAAGCGCUCUACUACUGAGCCCUACCACUGAGGCCCCCUGAAAAAUUAAAUUUUAUACUCUGUGAAAGACAGAACAAAAAGACAAGCUAUAGAUGGGGACAAAUUACUUACAAUAUGCAAUUCUGAAAAGGAUUUUAAUUCUAUUUCUAAUUAAAAUUUGCAAUUCUGAAAAGGAUUUUAAUUCUAUUUCUAAUUAAAAUUUGCAAUUCUGAAAAGGAUUUUAAUUCUAUUUCCCAGGAAUGCCAGGAGGGGAUGGGCAUGCACCUCUGAGCUGCAGUGUCCUGUGCUGAGUCCCAGCAGCUAUCAGAGGGCGUGCCACCUUCCCAGACCCAGUGGUAACCUGCUGUUGAUAUGUUAAUGUGAUAGUGCUAACGUGUUAUUUAUAUGCAAC
This 1560-nucleotide long non-coding RNA is filed under the name Marmota monax (woodchuck). Lineage: Eukaryota; Metazoa; Chordata; Mammalia; Rodentia; Sciuridae. The record is from RNAcentral.